Long non-coding RNA from Columba livia (rock pigeon), 5572 nucleotides. RefSeq lists it as uncharacterized. The record is from RefSeq and is a predicted model, not a curated record. NCBI's taxonomy places the organism in Eukaryota, Metazoa, Chordata, Aves, Columbiformes, Columbidae. The transcript has 2 exons.
GCCCCCGGCCCGGCCCCCCCCGGGAGCCCCUCACGGCCCCGGCCCGCCCGGGCCCGGCCCCCCCGCGGCCGGGAGCCGCCGGGCAGCGCUCCGCGGGGCCGGGGGGCCGACCCCACGCUCCGGGGGGCCGCACAGCCGAGCUGGGGGCGCCAGGUCACCCCCGAGCCCGGAGGGUCCCUCACAGGCCGGGGGAGGCGCGGCCCGCGCUCUCCUGUCAGCGCCGCCCGGCGCGGGGAGCGGCGGCCACCGGCGGGUCCCAGAGCCCGCUCCCCGCGCCCCUUCACCCCGCAGCGCCUCCCCCGCGGCCUGCGCGGCCGGGCCCCUCGACCCCGAGCCGGCCAGACCGGGGGUGACCCCCCGCCCCUCACCCAGGGCUUCGCAUCCCGACUCCGGCAAAGUUGGGAGCCGCGGGGUCCGGCCGGCACCGGGUGAGCAGCGGGGCGCCGGCGGCGGGAGCCGCGCUGGAAGCGGCCGCCGAGGAGGGCAGCGAAGAUUUGGGGGUCUGGGUGCCCAUCGCUGCCUCCAGCACAUCGCGGGACCCCAAGGACAGCCAAGGAGCCUCCGCGGCGGUUUGUGUGCCCCCCAAACAGCCCUGUAAGCAGGCAAGGUGAAACACCCCCCUCGUUUGAGGGGGAAAAGGCCACCAGGGAAUUCUCAGGUGUCCCAGAGCCUCCCCGCAUAGCCUGGGACACCGGGACGUGUGUCCUCGCCAGGAUGUCAUCUACACGGGCUGCACCAGCAGGCCUGAGACGCGGCAGCGGCUGCUUCUUCCCAGCCAGGACAGCGUCUGUGACCGUCCAUCUUCUCCUGAAAAACGCCUUUAAAAACCAACAAGCCUUGGCAGUUCUUCAAUCCGUGAUGUUGUGGUGUCUUUGGCAGGACCACAGUCUCCUACCGCUGAAGUCCUUCCAUCAGUUGCAGAAUGGGCUUUUUUCUUCAUCUUGUUUAAUGCUAAGAAACUUCUGAGAAGCCAGCAACUAGCACAGGAGAGAAAAAUACACACAUGAUGAGUUAAACCCCACACAAGCCCAGAGGCUCUGCGUGAAAUACAGUGCCACAGCAAACGCAGGAGGUCAGAACACUUUCUCUGCCUUGUUCCUGUGGUCCUUGGUCCACAAGGAUCUCGUGAGCAAGAGGAAGAUCAGCCACUGCCAUGAUGCGUGCAGGACCCAGAUGCUACACAGAACAUCGAGGGAAAAUUCAGCUAUUUGGAGACGUUGACUCAAAAAAUGCUUGGUUUCCUUUAUAAGCUGAAGUUUCUCUUCUUUCCUCUGUGUACGAGGUGAGCGAUAAACCCAGCUGCUCUCCGCAAUCAGGAUUCGUGGGCUCUGAGCGAUGACCAGGGAGCACCAUGGAUGACACAGCCUCGGCAGCACCGACCUCAAGCAGUGUGACAGCUGUAGGAAAAGGGAUCAGCGCUUCUUCCUUGCCCAGUUGAACCAUACCCGAUGGGCUAUCAGUGAAUGUGAGCUGGGUGGAUAAAUUGUGCUCAGCAUCAUGUUUCUGGAGUGCACAGGGAGGCCUCUCUGGAGGGCCAGAGCUCAGCGUGGGGACCCCAGCAGCGAGCACAGCAUCUGAGCAUGACACACAAAUAAACCAGAAACCUGCCUAGAACAAAUACCAAGAAUUGGUGAUGCUGCAGAAAAGAACUGAGCUAAAACAACCUGAGCGGCGCCAGCCCUGGCAGCCAGCAAGGACAUCGUGCAGCAGCGUCUGCACCUUCCCAGCGCAGCAGAUCCCCUGGUUCAGUGUACUCGGAAUAUAAUCCUGUGAGCUCGCUGAGGACUGAACAGUGAGCUUUCCUGGCAUUCAAAUGGGAAACCACUCAUGCAAGGCAGUGUUUAUGAGACCACCACCAGCUCGUUGUGAAACGAGAAGUUAGCAAACACAUUACCUACCCAGCAGAACACGAGAGCUGGAAAAAUAGGGAUGCUCCCCAGAUUUCACUAAAGAGACUGACCCGGGGGGCUGGGACCACGUUUUACCUUGCAGAUACAACAUUUGGUCACUCACCAAAGCCUGUGCAUGGUGGGCUAAAAGAUGCAGGACUGGACUGCUUGCUUUUUUAAAAAAAUAAGUGGGUUUGUGUCCAAAAGCACAUGACAGCGGGCUCAGCGCUGCACACUCGCUCUCCGACACUUGCCUUAGGGGUUCGCCAAUGUCCUUAAAGAGAACAGAGGUACCACCAAAACUCCCUUAUAUUACCCCAUUUCACUGCUUUCCUUAGGGGCUGCAAUGUAGAAAUGCCGCCUUCGGACGGGACUUUCACUCCGUUAGACAGAUUUAUCAGCAGGAGCCUCUCCAGAAGCACAACACGUUGCCUCUCUCCUUGGAGCGGAGCUGCACUGUGCUGCUCCCCGCCUGAAACGCAAAGGCAGCUCCUGCUGCUGCCAAAGUGCUGCCUAAAAAUGACAUUUUUACUCGAGUCCUCCCCUCUGCUGUGAGGCGCAGCCAACAGCGGGUAACUACAGCACUGCCCAGCACCAGAGUGAGUUAAGUUGCAGUGUAACACAGAGCACACGCCGCUCCUUAGAUGUGUUCGAGUGACUUCAGAAACCCACUGCCUUGAAUUUGCCGAGCUAAACAGGACCAGGAAAAUUAAGAGACUGGCAAUUAUCAAGUUUCGGGAACCACAUUGCUGCUGUGCUGUUUGCUGUGUGGAUGCAAUAAUUUAGCAUGGACGCUCGGGGCUGGUUUGGCAUGGAAAGAGGCCCAGAGCCCCUCGGAGUGCUGUGACAGUCCGCUGCCAAAACCCUGCUCUGGCGUGGAGCUGCCCGCAGUGAGGCUGCAACGAAAACCGCAUGUGGUUGAAACGGGCUGUUUGGGGAGGAAGCAUUCACCUGGGGUAGAGAUUUUUCCCCAGAAGGAGGAGAGUUGUCCAGGAGGCUGCGUUCGGGGCAGGAGAACUCGAUCCUGGCCAGCGGCUGCUGGAUGCUAAAGCGGGUUCUAAAAUCCUUCUUGCUCAGCAACCCGUUUUGUGGGGUAACAGUAAAGGUGUAAAACACCUCCCUCACAUACACAUCGAACCCUUGCACUUCCUGAAGAAACAGAGCACAUGGAUGAACCCCACUCUCUAAUGAGUGGUUCUUCAUUAGCCCCCAACCCAUUCCUGCAGCGCUACCUGGCCCAAGUUAGAUGUAGCCGAAGUAGCACUGAAACUGCAGCAAACCAGCAAUAAACUGCAGCUUCACAGCACUCAGGAGGGGAAUACUUGGACAAAAUGAAUGCUGAAGUUUAAUGAUAAAUAUCAGACAUUUAACAGCUGCUUUUUGGUGAAGGUGAAGGUGAGGCCGCCUCCCCUCUUCCAGGUGUUUGUAACAAAACAUCUGGAGCACGGACAGGUUGAGGAUGGAGGACUGCGUGCUCCAGAGCUGUACAAGAGCAGAAAGCACGACAAAGCCAUCUGCAGAGCUCCCUUCCUUUUGAGAAACUAGUUUAUUCUCAAGUGGGGCCUUUCCUUGUCCCUUUCUCGAAGGGAUGAGGGGAAAAAAAAAUAUACAGCUAAUUGCUGAUUACAGAACAAUAUGGCUGCGUGUCUGCUGUUCUUCAGCCUGUCAGCAUCGAGGCACUGACCAGACAUGGGGAUGGGUUUUUUCUUCCCUCAUUAACUAGGAAGAACAAAGCAGCAAAGCCCCAACACGAGAUCUUCCUACCCUGACUUUUGGCCUGUUUUUUUGGGAAAGAGGAGACAUCCAGGGCUGUUGUGCCACCCACAGAGGUGCACACAGCUGAACCAGCGCUAGGAGCCAACAGGAGGGAAAAAGAGGAUUUCACCACUAAACACAGGGGUACUGGGGGAAAAGGGUCUUUGCAUGUCUUGACUCUUAGUUUCAGGAGCAUAAGAGCGGAGAGAGUGGGGACGAGCCCCAACAUCACCCCACGCGCUGCAGGUCAGCCAUCCAGGCUGAAGAAGGGGCGCUUGCACUGUGCACCCCCAGAGCGGUGCUCAGAGCUCUUCCAACCUCCACAAAUGACUCCGGCAAGUUUUUAAAAGUCGCAGAAAAAACUAAGAGAACCCCCUCUCCAGCAAUGUGUGAGGACAGAGGAAUUAAGCCUGGAGCUCCGGUGUCCGUGCUGCCAGGAGGCUGUUGGCCGCUUGUUUUCAGCACAGGUGGGGAGGCAGCGCAACCCUGGAAAUGCAGCACUAAGAGUUUCCCACGUGCUGGAGCGCUCCCAUCACACCGGCACCUUGCAAACAUGCACAGGAGCUUAAGCAAACGCCUGAAACCCAGUUCGCUUACCCACUGAAAGCGUCAAGGUGCAGCAGUCUGGAGGAUUGUGCACCAACUGGUUCCUCCGUCAGGCCUUGGGGAAGGACCGGGCUGCAGGGAAGAGCACGGUGAGUCUGCAAGGGGGAGGACCACCAGCCCCCACCUUCCCAAGCAGCCUCUGUGGCCACAGACAGGGCUUAAACCCGGCUCAUCUGCUCCCGAUCCCUGCGAUCAGAACUAAUACAGGAAACCCAAUAAGAAAUCCCGAAGGCAGCAGCUUGGCUGAUCUGCAUUUCCAUAGGAAACAGCUGCAUCACCAGUAAAACCUUCAGCCCCUUCUCCCUGUGUCCCUCAGGACGAGCUCGUGCCAGCACACGGAUGUGACAGGGACAUUCCUCGGCGUCGCUGCCCGUGGCAGAGGGGAUGUGUCUGCUCCUCCACGCUCCUGGGUGGUUGCGUUAAGCCAACCUGUUUGGCUGGCUGGGAGGUGAUGUCUUGGGGAAAAGCAGGACGAAAUGGGACGGCAGCUUUUUGACUCCCUGCAGCUGGCUCCUCCACGCCCUGGCUGCCACGGCUCCUGCUCCUCGGGUGUAAAACGGAGAAAAUCAGAUUGUUCUGCUUACUCAAGGCGUUGCACAAAUGGCUGGAUAUCCACAAUGCCACUGCCUUGGCCAGAGGCUGAAUGGGGAAGGAAAGCUGCUGCCGCUGCUCCGCGCCAGCCCCAGCACCGACAUCCCCAGCGCUCUGGUGUCCCUGGCAAAGGUGAAAUCGUGGGUUGAGGAGUCAGAGGAAAGCAGCGUGGCAGUGAGGAGCACCCCUGCCCUCCCCAGACACUCUGUGCGAGCACCGAGGAACACUUUGCCUUCAGCCCUUCAGCCCCCAGCCCAGAUACUUAAUUUAAUAACCUGGUGGUUUGACCUGUGAAGGCAAAUCACCCCUUGGUUCUUUCUGCUCCAACUUGCACCAGUAUCAAACUGGGCUACGUUCUCCAACCUGACACGAGCGUCAUCACCGUCAAGACUUGUACCCACAAAAGCCAUCUCAGCUGUUAUGAGCUGGCUGGGAAUUGUGUGACCUCUGCAGAAAAAGCCCUUCUGCUUUCCUGAUUUUCAGGUUCGUUGAAAGAUGCUGUUGUGCAGAACCUCAUUAGUUUGUGGUGAAUCCAGCUGCAAACGUCUGGAGCUGGGAAUUAGCACCUAAGUGCAGAAAACACAGGAAAAAAGGGAGAUAAUGUUUCUCAAAAUGGACUUUGCUCAUUUAUUUUAUCAUUUGUAGCUUCAUUUGAAUUAUUUAUGAUAACAGUUCAUAGUGGCGCCUGUAGCAAAUGUUGUGAAAAUAAUGAAAUCCAAUUCCCAUGGGAC